UGCUGAGGGGGCCGCCAGCUGCAGGAAGGAGCCUGAGGUCCGCAAGAGGAGGCUGCUGAGCAGGACGGGCAGCAGAGCGGCUUCUGGAGUCGCUGCAGAGGGGCUGCCGGUGCCCCCAAGCCGGGACAUUCAGUGAGGACCGAGGCCGAGGACCAGAGGCAUCAAACUUGUGUGCGCUGCAUUGCAGGGUGCAAUCGUAACCAAUGGACCACCACGAAAGUCCCCAAAGGAGGCCACUUAAACACCACUGGAUUAAGAUAUUUGAAAGUUUAACGUUUGUUCCUACUUCUCAGUAGGGCAGAAGCUUGGAAGCAAGAUGCAGACAAUUAAGAAGUUGCAUUAACAAGACACCAGCAGUGCUGUGUGCAUCUUCAACCUCAGAGGCCAUGCUGGGCUAGGGUGUAGGUGCUGGGCUCUGUCUGUGGCCUGAGUCCUUGGUCUCGGGAGCUGCUCCCCCUCCACACCCAGGGGAGUGCUCCAGCGAGGCUGUGACCCCAGCUGACCAGUCAGAGCAUCCGUGCCAAUCAGGCUGAGCAUGCCACGUCAUCAGGAACAACUGUUUCCCCUGAAACUGCUGAAAAGAGUGAAUACUCCUUAAUGUGGGGUGCCUUGGGGGCAGGGGUGACACCAGCUCCGAAGUGUGGAGCUAAGAGAUGAGGGGAAGAGAGAGAGAGAGAGAGACGAAACUCCUGGACCCAGCCCCGCCAGUAGACAAGAUCUCUUGUGGCCUUCAGUUAAUUGGCCAACAGAUUCCUUUUUCUGGCUUUGCUCAAAUUGAUCUGUUGUGGGGAUGGAGAGUGAAUCUUUCACUGCUGGAGGCUCUGCUGCUGGGAGCGUUAGAUGGGCCACCUGCGCUGAGACAACUGCUGGUGUAAAACACAGGAUGUAAAAUAGCUCAUUAAAGUUGUUUAUGUUGA
Molecule: long non-coding RNA, 917 nt
Organism: Odocoileus virginianus texanus
Lineage: Eukaryota; Metazoa; Chordata; Mammalia; Artiodactyla; Cervidae
Source: RefSeq, a predicted model, not a curated record